GUACGUGCGCGUGUAAAUACGAGCGCCGCGCGGGGCCGGAGCCGGCUCCGUCCUGGGACCAACCCUGCGUGCCGGCCGUGAAGAACUGCGUUCCUGAGCCCUACCUACUUUUCCUCGGAGCGCCGGCACCGUGGAGCAGCGGCAUGCAACGCGGGCCGCUGUCGCCCAGUCCCAGUGACGGUCUUGGCGCGCUCGGAACUACGUAUCCCGGCGUGCACCGCGGACAGAGCAUGGCGGGACUACGAGUCCCAGCGUUCAACGCAGGCCUGCGUGCCAUUACCCCAUCACGCGCUGAGACCCAGCAUCCCGAGACUACGAGUUCCGGCAUGCACCGCGAGCCGCUCUCCUCCACUCCCAUCGCGCACUGUGAGUCGCAACGUCGCGGGACUACGGGUCCCGGCAUGCCUUGCGCGCCGCGGGCCCAGAGACGUGAGGCUGUCGGCGUCCUGGUGGCCCCGCCUCGUGUCCCCCCCCGGACCCCACGCCGCGGGAGCUUGGGGGUUGCGGUCUUCUCUUCCUCCGACCUCACCUUCGAUGCGGAAGCGCAGGGGCAGGUGCGCCGCCCUCGGCCCGCGCAGGCGGUGGGCCCGUCUGGGGCAAGGCGCCCGGAAGCGCCUGGUUGGUUCAGAAAAUCGGACCGCAGCGGGAGGGCGGGCACCGGCGCGUGGUCUCAGUGGCCCCAGGCGAACCCUGAUGAGCAGCAGCCGCAAGUGGCUUACUAAAGGAGCCACUUUCUACGUUUGUCUGGAAUUUACGUGAAUUAAGCUGGCGGGCGGGCGGCCAGGCCUGUAGUCUCAGCACUUUGGGAGGCUCAGCACUUCGGGAGGCUGUGGCGGGCGGAUCACCUGAGCCUGGGAGUUGGAGACCAGCCUGCGCAACGUAGCAAGACCCUAUCUCUAAAACAGAUUCAUUAAUACUUAGCCAGGCGCGGUGGCUGAGGUCCCAGCUACUCGGCAGGCCCAGGCUGGCCUGAGCCAGACCGCUCUGGACUGUUUUAAUUUUUUCAGCCUUAAUACCUGCCAGAAUUUUUUUUUUACUAUGUAUCUUUGUCCUUACGUAUAUAAAUUUUAUAUACAAUUGAGAUUAUCCUGUAUUUGCUUUUCCCCCCUCACUUUUAUAUGGUGACUUUUCUCAUGUUAGGCUGAAUACUAACAUUUUGGAAACUGUCGGCCUGAAAACGAGCGGAGACACAGUUUCUCUAAGUAGAGAGUUUAUUUGGGCCACACUUGAGCACAAAUUCAAGGCGCCCUGAAUGUGUACUCCGAUUAGCAGUUAACAGUGGAUUUUAAAGGCAAAAAAGGGGGCCAGGGAGUGGACUAAUAGGAACUUGUUUGUGAGGAAUUCUCACUGGUUUACAGAAAUAACAUUGAUUAGUGACUGACUAUAUGUUGUUCAGCUAUUGAGUGUGGGUAUAGUGUCCAUUGUGGCGUCAUUAGGUUAAUUUAUAGCUGUUUGUGGCGCUGUUGCCACCAGUAGCAGUUUAAAGAGGUGAACACAGGUCAAGGGGUAGUAGGGCGCGAUUGUCGCCUCAUUUGAAUGUCUCUCUCGGCCUGAUAAUUAAAAGAACUCGCGUUCCUCAGAUAAAAAUUCUCUUUUCUCAAAACCAUUUAAAUGUGGUAAUUAGAAUGGCCCAGAAGGGGCACAGUGCCUUUUAGCCCUCGCCAUUACUUGCUCUUAGGAGUGCAUUUUUUGUAGCUGUGGGUUUUUGACUAUCUCUGCUGCUUUCUCCAGCCCCUACCCUCGUGACUACAAGGGAAAACGUGCGGUGCUCACGAGAGAGCCUUUAUGGGAUUUUUAAAAAAUGGGGAUUGUGGGAAAAUGGCUCCAGCAGUCACAGUUUUUCAGUUUCUCACAAUCCCAUAAAAACAGAGCAACCAGGUAACAAAACUAAAGCAUGGGCAACAUUUACAGACCACUGGAUGGUGAAGAAUUCCCAUGAACCCCUGGUUCACACUGUAAGGACACACUACUCAGCAUGGGCAACAUUUACAGACUACUGGAUGGUGAAGAAUUCCCAUGAACCCCUGGUUCACACUGUAAGGACAGACUACUCAGCAUGGGCAACAUUUACAGACCACUGGAUGAUGAAGAAUUCCCAUGAACUCCUGGUUCCAACUGUAAGGACACACUACUCAGCUGUAGCCUGAAGCCGCCUCCUUACAUACUGAAAGUGACGUGUGCAUAUUCCACUUGGGGCCUGGGGCAACACCCUCAUCAAACUGAUAUUCCUGCAGCAAAAUACAAGCAGGACGAAAAGGAUCAUGGGUCGUCUCGUGCCAAAUCAGGGGAAGGCGCCCAGUCCCCAGGAGCACAAUCUGUCCUGGCCAUGCUUGUCCACCGAACUGCAGCUUACACUCUGCAGGUCCUGGAGCCCAAGAAAGACCCCGGGAGGGAGCUCCCGGCCAC
Molecule: long non-coding RNA, 2406 nt
Filed under: Homo sapiens (human)
Lineage: Eukaryota; Metazoa; Chordata; Mammalia; Primates; Hominidae
Description: non-protein coding lnc-PQLC1-104:2
Source: RNAcentral